This 108-nucleotide ribosomal RNA is filed under the name Bifidobacteriaceae bacterium NR044. Its description in RNAcentral is "partial 23S ribosomal RNA". It matches the Rfam family "Bacterial large subunit ribosomal RNA", at positions 2813 to 2925 of the family's 2925-position model. Lineage: Bacteria; Bacillati; Actinomycetota; Actinomycetes; Bifidobacteriales; Bifidobacteriaceae. The record is from RNAcentral. RNAcentral also lists the same sequence under 1 other name.
CCUUGCACUUUAGUGUGUGAGCCCCCAUGUAGAACACGUGGUUGAUAGGCUGGACGUGGAAGCCCUGUAAGGGGUGGAGCUGACCAGUACUAACGGGCGAUGGUGACA